AGACGAUAUGAGAGAGGAAAUGCUGCUCUUGUGGAAGGCAGCAGUGCUCUGCUGACUGCAAACAGCAAGUUUGCUUGGAUCUGGGUCUGUGCCUUAAGUGCUAAUGGAACAUGUAAGAACUGUCAGAGCAGAUCAAAGAGCCCUGGAGGGUGUAGCCUGUGUGUCACAGUGCUGCAGCAACAGUCGGAAACCCGGGGGAAAACCGCUGCCUGGGCAAAAGGAGUCACGAGAACAGCCAGCUGCCUCUGCUGCCUGGGGCAGAGCCAUGGCAUGCUAUAAAAGCACGGGCUGCUGAGAAUCAUGUAUUUGCUUCUCCUGCCUUGUUGUCCUUGUUGAAGUGGGCUCGCGCCCUCCACCGCACCAAGAUGACCUACUACUACCAGAACCAGUGCGACGACGUGUGCUACUCGCCCUGCAACUACGGGACGGCGUACACCUACCGCAGGAGCUACGGCUGCGGGGGCCCCUUCCGG
Struthio camelus australis is the source of this 473-nucleotide non-coding RNA. Lineage: Eukaryota; Metazoa; Chordata; Aves; Struthioniformes; Struthionidae. The record is from RefSeq and is a predicted model, not a curated record.